AUGGGAACGCGAAGAACCUUACCCACCUUUGACAUGGCAGGAACUUACCAGAGAUGGUUUGGUGCUCGAAAGAGAACCUGCACACAGGUGCUGCAUGGCUGUCGUCAGCUCGUGUCGUGAGAUGUUGGGUUAAGUCCCGCAACGAGCGCAACCCUUGUCAUUAGUUGCUACGAAAGGGCACUCUAAUGAGACUGCCGGUGACAAACCGGAGGAAGGUGGGGAUGACGUCAAGUCCUCAUGGCCCUUAUAGGUGGGGCUACACACGUCAUACAAUGGCCGGUACAAAGGGCUGCAAACCCGCGAGGGGGAGCCGAAUCCAUCAAAGCCGGUCGUAGUCCGGAUCGCAGUCUGCAACUCGACUGCGUGAAGUCGGAAUCGCUAGUAAUCGUAGAUCAGAAUGCUACGGUGAAUACGUU
RNAcentral lists this ribosomal RNA (416 nucleotides) under uncultured bacterium. RNAcentral's name for it is "bacterial SSU rRNA". It matches the Rfam family "Bacterial small subunit ribosomal RNA", at positions 954 to 1372 of the family's 1533-position model. The record is from RNAcentral.